AGAGUUUGAUCAUGGCUCAGAAACGAACGCUGGCGGCAGGCCUAACACAUGCAAGUCGAACGCCCCGCAAGGGGAGUGGCAGACGGGUGAGUAACACGUGGGAACAUACCCUUUGGUUCGGAAAUAACUCAGGGAAAACUUGAGCUAAUACCGGAUAAGUCCGCGAGGAGAAAGAUUUAUCGCCGAAGGAUUGGCCCGCGUCUGAUUAGCUAGUUGGUGAGGUAACGGCUCACCAAGGCGACGAUCAGUAGCUGGUCUGAGAGGAUGACCAGCCACAUUGGGACUGAGACACGGCCCAAACUCCUACGGGAGGCAGCAGUGGGGAAUAUUGGACAAUGGGCGCAAGCCUGAUCCAGCCAUGCCGCGUGAGUGAUGAAGGCCUUAGGGUUGUAAAGCUCUUUUACUCGGGAAGAUAAUGACGGUACCGAGAGAAUAAGCCCCGGCUAACUUCGUGCCAGCAGCCGCGGUAAUACGAAGGGGGCUAGCGUUGUUCGGAUUUACUGGGCGUAAAGCGCACGUAGGCGGAUUUUUAAGUCAGGGGUGAAAUCCCGGGGCUCAACCUCGGAACUGCCUUUGAUACUGGAGAUCUUGAGUUCGGGAGAGGUGAGUGGAACUGCGAGUGUAGAGGUGAAAUUCGUAGAUAUUUCGCAAGAAACACCAGUGGCGAAGGCGGCUCACUGGCCCGAUACUGACGCUGAGGUGCGAAAGCGUGGGGAGCAAACAGGAUUAGAUACCCCGGUAGUCC
This 745-nucleotide ribosomal RNA is filed under the name uncultured bacterium. Its description in RNAcentral is "bacterial SSU rRNA". It matches the Rfam family "Bacterial small subunit ribosomal RNA", at positions 8 to 796 of the family's 1533-position model. The record is from RNAcentral.